Non-coding RNA from Folsomia candida, 75 nucleotides. The record is from Rfam. Lineage: Eukaryota; Metazoa; Arthropoda; Collembola; Entomobryomorpha; Isotomidae.
GUUUCUAUAGCUCAGUGGUUAGAGCGCUAGUCAUUAAAACGGUGGAAGCGUGGGUUCGAUUCCCUGCUAAAUUCC